GAGCGUGGCGGUGUGGCGGCACACCAGUUCCGUCGAGAACGGGACGAUGGGGGUCCAGCACUGGACCGCCGGGCUCUUCCCCGGCGCGUCCGCCA
This 95-nucleotide transfer RNA is filed under the name Streptomyces lomondensis. RNAcentral describes it as "tRNA-Leu". Lineage: Bacteria; Bacillati; Actinomycetota; Actinomycetes; Kitasatosporales; Streptomycetaceae. The record is from RNAcentral.